RNAcentral lists this unclassified non-coding RNA (520 nucleotides) under uncultured Glomus. RNAcentral's name for it is "bacterial SSU rRNA". It matches the Rfam family "Eukaryotic small subunit ribosomal RNA", at positions 569 to 1086 of the family's 1831-position model. Lineage: Eukaryota; Fungi; Glomeromycota; Glomeromycetes; Glomerales; Glomeraceae. The record is from RNAcentral.
AGCAGCCGCGGUAAUUCCAGCUCCAAUAGCGUAUAUUAAAGUUGUUGCAGUUAAAAAGCUCGUAGUUGAACUUCAGGCCUGUCCAGAUGGUCCGCCUUAAUUGGUGUGUACUGUCCUUGGGUGGGUCCUACCUUCUGGCGAAGCGGCAUGGCCUUAGUUGGUUGUGUUGGGGAACCAGGACUUUUACUGUGAAAAAAUUAGAGUGUUCAAAGCAGGCAUAAUAUGCUCGAAUACAUUAGCAUGGAAUAAUGGAAUAGGACGAUGGUUCUAUUUUGUUGGUUCUAGGACCGUUGUAAUGAUUAAUAGGGAUAGUUGGGGGCAUUAGUAUUCAAUUGUCAGAGGUGAAAUUCUUGGAUUUAUUGAAGACUAACUACUGCGAAAGCAUUUGCCAAGGAUGUUUUCAUUAAUCAAGAACGAAAGUUAGGGGAUCGAAGACGAUCAGAUACCGUCGUAGUCUUAACCAUAAACUAUGCCGACUAGGAAUCAGACGAUGUUAAUUUUUUAAUGACUCGUUUGGCAC